GUCGAACGGACUUAAUCGAAAUAUUUAUAUUUUGAAGCGGUUAGUGGCGGACUGGUGAGUAACGCGUAAGGAACCUGCCUAUUAGAGGGGAAUAACAGUGAGAAAUCAUUGCUAAUACCGCAUAUGCCAUAGAUAUCACAUGAUAACAGUGGGAAAGGAGCAAUCCGCUAAUAGAUGGCCUUGCGUCUGAUUAGAUAGUUGGUGGGGUAACGGCCUACCAAGUCGACGAUCAGUAGCCGGACUGAGAGGUUGAACGGCCACAUUGGGACUGAGAUACGGCCCAGACUCCUACGGGAGGCAGCAGUCGGGAAUAUUGCGCAAUGGAGGAAACUCUGACGCAGUGACGCCGCGUAUAGGAAGAAGGUUUUCGGAUUGUAAACUAUUGUCGUUAGGGAAGAGAAAGGACAGUACCUAAGGAGGAAGCUCCGGCUAACUACGUGCCAGCAGCCGCGGUAAUACGUAGGGAGCGAGCGUUAUCCGGAAUUAUUGGGUGUAAAGGGUGCGUAGACGGGAGAACAAGUUAGUUGUGAAAUACCUCGGCUCAACUGAGGAACUGCAACUAAAACUGUACUUCUUGAGUGCAGGAGAGGUAAGUGGAAUUCCUAGUGUAGCGGUGAAAUGCGUAGAUAUUAGGAGGAACACCAGUGGCGAAGGCGACUUACUGGACUGUAACUGAC
This 677-nucleotide ribosomal RNA is filed under the name uncultured bacterium. RNAcentral describes it as "bacterial SSU rRNA". It matches the Rfam family "Bacterial small subunit ribosomal RNA", at positions 61 to 744 of the family's 1533-position model. The record is from RNAcentral.